This is a non-coding RNA of Phalacrocorax carbo (great cormorant), 533 nucleotides long. The record is from RefSeq and is a predicted model, not a curated record. NCBI's taxonomy places the organism in Eukaryota, Metazoa, Chordata, Aves, Suliformes, Phalacrocoracidae.
AAAAAAAGAGAGAGAGAGAGAAAAGGAGUAUUGGGCGAGAUUUACUUGACAAGGGAAGGCAGAAAGACAAGGCACCAGAAACUGUGCAGUAACCUGGUAUGAAAUUACACUAGGCGACUGCAAAAGAACGUGCUCUCGACCUGCCUUUACAGUGCUUCCAAGCCACGGGAGAGUCGGGAAUUGCAUGGAGCUGCCGCUGAGAAUCGCAACAGGGUCACACUAUGAAAACAAACCAUAGCCGUGUCAAUCCAAGGCGCCCGGCUGCUCCGGUUGGCGCACAAGCUGGAGAGCGCAAUGGAGGCCGAGACUAUUCCCGAAGGACUAUGCCGUCAUGGCCAUCGUGAUAGAGUCUAGCCCCACACAGAACUCACAUUAUCACGCUGCUUCAACCCCCCCAAGCCUGACAUAUUACCUUGCUUUUUCAUUUUAUUUCUGGACUGGAAAACUACCUUCUGCUGAUGUGACUUGUUCCCACAAGUGCUAGCAUCAGUUUGCAUUGCUUUGUAAGGUAAGAUCUCUGACAAUUCUCCUGC